GCCUUCGUGGUGUAGUGGUCAGCACGCUCGACGCGUAUUCGAGAGGUCCGUGGUUCGAGUCCCGGCGAAGGCG
This 73-nucleotide transfer RNA is filed under the name Stegodyphus dumicola. RNAcentral's name for it is "tRNA-Thr". It matches the Rfam family "tRNA". From Rfam's summary of the family: Transfer RNA (tRNA) molecules are approximately 80 nucleotides in length. RNAcentral also lists the same sequence under 1 other name. Lineage: Eukaryota; Metazoa; Arthropoda; Arachnida; Araneae; Eresidae. The record is from RNAcentral.